Molecule: ribosomal RNA, 421 nt
Filed under: uncultured bacterium
Lineage: Bacteria
Description: partial 16S ribosomal RNA
Rfam family: Bacterial small subunit ribosomal RNA
Source: RNAcentral
AUGGUCCACAAUAGACGAAGGGCCAAUGGAGCAACGCCGCGUGAGCGAAGCAGAUUUUCGGAUCGCAUAGCUCUGUAGUGAGGGAAGAACAAGUACAGGAGUAACUGUCUGUACCUUGACGGUACUUUAUUUGAAAGACACGGUCAACUACGUGCGAGCAGCGACGGUAAUACGGAGGUGGCAAGCGUUGUCCGGAAUUAUUGGGCGUAAAGCGCGCGCAGGCGGCCUUUUAAGUCUGAUGUGAAAGCCCACGGCUUAACCGUGGAAGGUCAUUGGAGACUGAGAGGCUUGAGUACUGUAGAGGAAAGCGGAAUUCCAGGUGUAGCGGUGGAAUGCGUAGAGAUGUGGAGGAAUACCAGUGGCGAAGGCGGCUUUCUGGUCUGUAACUGACGCUGAGGCGCGAAAGCGUGGGGAGCAAACA